Molecule: ribosomal RNA, 1395 nt
Filed under: uncultured bacterium
Lineage: Bacteria
Description: partial 16S ribosomal RNA
Rfam family: Bacterial small subunit ribosomal RNA
Source: RNAcentral
AGAGUUUGAUCCUGGCUCAGGACGAACGCUGGCGGCACGCUUAACACAUGCAAGUCGAGGGGCAGCAUGGUCUUAGCUUGCUAAGGCCGAUGGCGACCGGCGCACGGGUGAGUAACACGUAUCCAACCUGCCGUCUACUCUUGGACAGCCUUCUGAAAGGAAGAUUAAUACAAGAUGGCAUCAUGAGUCCGCAUGUUCACAUGAUUAAAGGUAUUCCGGUAGACGAUGGGGAUGCGUUCCAUUAGAUAGUAGGCGGGGUAACGGCCCACCUAGUCUUCGAUGGAUAGGGGUUCUGAGAGGAAGGUCCCCCACAUUGGAACUGAGACACGGUCCAAACUCCUACGGGAGGCAGCAGUGAGGAAUAUUGGUCAAUGGGCGAGAGCCUGAACCAGCCAAGUAGCGUGAAGGAUGACUGCCCUAUGGGUUGUAAACUUCUUUUAUAAAGGAAUAAAGUCGGGUAUGGAUACCCGUUUGCAUGUACUUUAUGAAUAAGGAUCGGCUAACUCCGUGCCAGCAGCCGCGGUAAUACGGAGGAUCCGAGCGUUAUCCGGAUUUAUUGGGUUUAAAGGGAGCGUAGAUGGAUGUUUAAGUCAGUUGUGAAAGUUUGCGGCUCAACCGUAAAAUUGCAGUUGAUACUGGAUAUCUUGAGUGCAGUUGAGGCAGGCGGAAUUCGUGGUGUAGCGGUGAAAUGCUUAGAUAUCACGAAGAACUCCGAUUGCGAAGGCAGCCUGCUAAGCUGCAACUGACAUUGAGGCUCGAAAGUGUGGGUAUCAAACAGGAUUAGAUACCCUGGUAGUCCAUGCCGUAAACGAUGAUUACUAGGUGUUGGAGGAUUGACCCCUUCAGUGCCGCAGUUAACACAAUAAGUAAUCCACCUGGGGAGUACGACCGCAAGGUUGAAACUCAAAGGAAUUGACGGGGGCCCGCACAAGCAGUGGAGUAUGUGGUUUAAUUCGAAGCAACGCGAAGAACCUUACCAGGUCUUGACAUCCGAUGCAUAGCGCAGAGAUGCGUGAAGUCCUUCGGGACAUCGAGACAGGUGGUGCAUGGUUGUCGUCAGCUCGUGUCGUGAGAUGUUGGGUUAAGUCCCGCAACGAGCGCAACCCUUAUUGCCAGUUACUACGAAAGAGGACUCUGGCGAGACUGCCGUUGACAAAACGGAGGAAGGUGGGGAUGACGUCAAAUCAUCAUGCCCUUUAUGACCUGGGCUACACACGUGUUACAAUGGGGGGUACAGAGGGCCGCUACCACGCGAGUGGAUGCCAAUCCCAAAAACCUCUCUCAGUUCGGACUGGAGUCUGCAACCCGACUCCACGAAGCUGGAUUCGCUAGUAAUCGCGAAUCAGCAUGUCGCGGUGAAUACGUUCCCGGGUCUUGUACUCACCGCCCGUCAAG